Long non-coding RNA from Neltuma alba, 123 nucleotides. RefSeq lists it as uncharacterized. The transcript has 3 exons. Lineage: Eukaryota; Viridiplantae; Streptophyta; Magnoliopsida; Fabales; Fabaceae. The record is from RefSeq and is a predicted model, not a curated record.
AGAUUCAAGAACCCAGAAAUUUAAGGGAUGAGAAUCUUUUCGUAUCAAUUCGGAAAGAAGCGUCCGAAACAAGCUCAGAGUGGAAAUGCUUCUCAACGCUUGCUCGCAAUAAGAAUAAUUUUA